GAUGAACGCUGGCGGCGUGCCUAAUACAUGCAAGUCGAGCGAACAGACGAGGAGCUUGCUCCUUUGACGUUAGCGGCGGACGGGUGAGUAACACGUGGGUAACCUACCUAUAAGACUGGGAUAACUUCGGGAAACCGGGGCUAAUACCGGAUAAUAUUUCGAACCGCAUGGUUCGAUAGUGAAAGAUGGCUUUGCUAUCACUUAUAGAUGGACCUGCGCCGUAUUAGCUAGUUGGUAAGGUAACGGCUUACCAAGGCAACGAUACGUAGCCGACCUGAGAGGGUGGUCGGCCACACUGGAACUGAGACACGGUCCAGACUCCUACGGGAGGCAGCAGUAGGGAAUCUUCCGCAAUGGGCGAAAGCCUGACGGAGCAACGCCGCGUAAGUGAUGAAGGUCUUCGGAUCGUAAAACUCUGUUAUUAGGGAAGAACAAACGUGUAAGUAACUGUGCACGUCUUGACGGUACCUAAUCAGAAAGCCACGGCUAACUACG
RNAcentral lists this ribosomal RNA (495 nucleotides) under uncultured bacterium. RNAcentral's name for it is "partial 16S ribosomal RNA". It matches the Rfam family "Bacterial small subunit ribosomal RNA", at positions 28 to 505 of the family's 1533-position model. The record is from RNAcentral.